CUAAUACAUGCAAGUCGUACGCUUCUUUUUCCACCGGAGCUUGCUCCACCGGAAAAAGAAGAGUGGCGAACGGGUGAGUAACACGUGGGUAACCUGCCCAUCAGAAGGGGAUAACACUUGGAAACAGGUGCUAAUACCGUAUAACAAUCGAAACCGCAUGGUUUUGAUUUGAAAGGCGCUUUCGGGUGUCGCUGAUGGAUGGACCCGCGGUGCAUUAGCUAGUUGGUGAGGUAACGGCUCACCAAGGCCACGAUGCAUAGCCGACCUGAGAGGGUGAUCGGCCACAUUGGGACUGAGACACGGCCCAAACUCCUACGGGAGGCAGCAGUAGGGAAUCUUCGGCAAUGGACGAAAGUCUGACCGAGCAACGCCGCGUGAGUGAAGAAGGUUUUCGGAUCGUAAAACUCUGUUGUUAGAGAAGAACAAGGAUGAGAGUAACUGUUCAUCCCUUGACGGUAUCUAACCAGAAAGCCACGGCUAACUACGUGCCAGCAGCCGCGGUAAUACGUAGGUGGCAAGCGUUGUCCGGAUUUAUUGGGCGUAAAGCGAGCGCAGGCGGUUUCUUAAGUCUGAUGUGAAAGCCCCCGGCUCAACCGGGGAGGGUCAUUGGAAACUGGGAGACUUGAGUGCAGAAGAGGAGAGUGGAAUUCCAUGUGUAGCGGUGAAAUGCGUAGAUAUAUGGAGGAACACCAGUGGCGAAGGCGGCUCUCUGGUCUGUAACUGACGCUGAGGCUCGAAAGCGUGGGGAGCAAACAGGAUUAGAUACCCUGGUAGUCCACGCCGUAAACGAUGAGUGCUAAGUGUUGGAGGGUUUCCGCCCUUCAGUGCUGCAGCUAACGCAUUAAGCACUCCGCCUGGGGAGUACGACCGCAAGGUUGAAACUCAAAGGAAUUGACGGGGGCCCGCACAAGCGGUGGAGCAUGUGGUUUAAUUCGAAGCAACGCGAAGAACCUUACCAGGUCUUGACAUCCUUUGACCACUCUAGAGAUAGAGCUUCCCCUUCGGGGGCAAAGUGACAGGUGGUGCAUGGUUGUCGUCAGCUCGUGUCGUGAGAUGUUGGGUUAAGUCCCGCAACGAGCGCAACCCUUAUUGUUAGUUGCCAUCAUUCAGUUGGGCACUCUAGCAAGACUGCCGGUGACAAACCGGAGGAAGGUGGGGAUGACGUCAAAUCAUCAUGCCCCUUAUGACCUGGGCUACACACGUGCUACAAUGGGAAGUACAACGAGUCGCGAAGUCGCGAGGCUAAGCUAAUCUCUUAAAGCUUCUCUCAGUUCGGAUUGUAGGCUGCAACUCGCCUACAUGAAGCCGGAAUCGCUAGUAAUCGCGGAUCAGCACGCCGCGGUGAAUACGUUCCCGGGCCUUGUACACACCGCCCGUCACACCACGAGAGUUUGUAACACCCGAAGUCGGUGAGGUAACCUUUUGGAGCCAGCCGCCUAAGGUG
This 1444-nucleotide ribosomal RNA is filed under the name Enterococcus durans. RNAcentral describes it as "bacterial SSU rRNA". It matches the Rfam family "Bacterial small subunit ribosomal RNA". The record is from RNAcentral. Lineage: Bacteria; Bacillati; Bacillota; Bacilli; Lactobacillales; Enterococcaceae.